Molecule: long non-coding RNA, 767 nt
Filed under: Salarias fasciatus (jewelled blenny)
Lineage: Eukaryota; Metazoa; Chordata; Actinopteri; Blenniiformes; Blenniidae
Description: lncRNA (ENSSFAG00005006492.1)
Source: RNAcentral
CACCCUCAACACAAAUUUUGCAUCAGUGUCAAAAUCUAACAAACUCCAAAGCGCCGUAGGUUUCUCCGGGUCUCUCUCACCGUCGGUGCUUCAUUCAGUAAAUGUUGGAUAGUUUGACUCUGGAAGAGUUGGAUUCGAUGCAGCUGCCACUGUUGAUUUAUUUUAGCCUCAUUUUGAUUGUAGUCUCAAAGGAUCAGAACUCAAAAGAUCCAGAAUGGAUUAUUGAUGUCAAACCCAGUAUUGAAGGACCGUCAGGUUCAACCAUCACCGUACAGUGCUCGUUUUCCUACCCAGAGAGGUACCGCUCCAGCGAUGUUCAGGUUUACUGGAAAAAGCGCGGGACAAGCAUCUGCAGUGAGAGUGACAACGACAAAAGGGCGUUCGUUUAUCACCCCAACAGCACAUGUGUGCACGACGAUUACAAAGGAAAGACGGAGCUCACCGGAGAUCAGAACCAAGGGAACUGCUCGCUCAAGAUUCAGAAUGUCAGUAAAAAUGAGCCGAUGAUCUACUUAAGAAUUUCCGUCAGGAAUGAAAACUACAGUUUCUUCAGCAGCCCCGUCUCCAUUUCAGUAACUGGUAAUACAGCAGUGGACACAAGAUAUCCAACAGGUCCAGAAUUUCUCCCAACUGAAUCCAGUGAAGCUGCUGCGACUGGGGAGCCUCCACAGGACUCCAAAAUAAUGUAUAUGGCCACUUUCAUACCAGUUAUUGUGGUCAUUCUUAUAGUUGCUGUCAUUUUAUUCACCGUGAAAUGCAAAAGGUAA